RNAcentral lists this ribosomal RNA (446 nucleotides) under uncultured bacterium. Its description in RNAcentral is "bacterial SSU rRNA". It matches the Rfam family "Bacterial small subunit ribosomal RNA", at positions 329 to 792 of the family's 1533-position model. The record is from RNAcentral.
UUCCAGACUCCUACGGGAGGCAGCAGUGGGGAAUAUUGCACAAUGGGGGAAACCCUGAUGCAGCAACGCCGCGUGAGUGAAGAAGUAUUUCGGUAUGUAAAGCUCUAUCAGCAGGGAAGAAGAUGACGGUACCUGAUUAAGAAGCCCCGGCUAACUGCGUGCCAGCAGCCGCGGUAAUACGUAGGGGGCAAGCGUUAUCCGGAUUUACUGGGUGUAAAGGGAGCGCAGACGGCAGUGCAAGUCUGGAGUGAAAGCCCGGGGCCCAACCCCGGAACUGCUCUGGAAACUGUGCGGCUAGGGUACUGGAGGGGCAGGCGGAAUUCCUAGUGUAGCGGUGAAAUGCGUAGAUAUUAGGAGGAACACCAGUGGCGAAGGCGGCCUGCUGGACAGUAACUGACGUUGAGGCUCGAAAGCGUGGGGAGCAAACAGGAUUAGAUACCCUUGUA